UGACAUCCCGGGAAUCCCGUUGGAACAAGGGAGUGCCUUCGGGACAGAGGACAGGUGGUGCAUGGUUGUCGUCAGCUCGUGUCGUGAGAUGUUGGGUUAAGUCCCGCAACGAGCGCAACCCCUGUGGUUAGUUGCCAGCAAGUAGCGUUGGGCACUCUAGCCAGACUGCCGGUGAUAAAUCGGAGGAAGGUGGGGACGACGUCAAAUCAUCAUGCCCUUUAUGUCCUGGGCUACACACGUACUACAAUGGUACAUACAGAGGGCUGCCAACCCGCGAGGGGGAGCUAAUCCCAGAAAGUGUAUCGUAGUCCGGAUUGAAGUCUGCAACUCGACUUCAUGAAGUUGGAAUCGCUAGUAAUCGCGGAUCAGCAUGUCGCGGUGAAUACGUUCCCGGGUCUU
RNAcentral lists this ribosomal RNA (399 nucleotides) under uncultured Pseudomonas sp. RNAcentral's name for it is "bacterial SSU rRNA". It matches the Rfam family "Bacterial small subunit ribosomal RNA", at positions 982 to 1382 of the family's 1533-position model. The record is from RNAcentral. Lineage: Bacteria; Pseudomonadati; Pseudomonadota; Gammaproteobacteria; Pseudomonadales; Pseudomonadaceae.